RNAcentral lists this long non-coding RNA (905 nucleotides) under Marmota monax (woodchuck). The record is from RNAcentral. Lineage: Eukaryota; Metazoa; Chordata; Mammalia; Rodentia; Sciuridae.
GUGUGUGUGUGUUUGGUUUAGAGGAGAGACUGGAACUGCUCAGUGUUUCACAAAGAUAACUGUUUGUAUUUGAUAAGAGUUUGAUUAAACAAAAGAAUCUAGAUAAUCAAAACAUAAAACGUUGACAAUACGUGAGCACAUACUUUUGUGACCAGAAAUGCAUGUGACUGUUGAGAUAAGGUACACCGGGUAAUUGGAUGAGUCAACUCUCUUCUUGGGCACCCUUAUAUAAUUAAUGGAGAGAGAGAGAGAGAGAGAGAGAGAGAGAGAGAGAGAGAGAGAGAGAGAGAGAGAGACUUUCUGAUCUCCUAGUUUGGGUCAUCUCCUUUCCCCUCCAUCAUCACUGGCUCUCAAACAAUCCUGGAGCUAGCAGGAUGGGGAAAUAACGGUUUAAUAAUCGCUUCCCGUGGGAGGUGUUUGACAGCUCAUAAAGCAGUUUCCAGACGCCGGUCUUGGGGCUUCGUGGACGGCUUGCCCUUAGCCACACUCAGAGAAAGAAAAACACGGGUCCACUUUUCCUUUCAGCUGCGGAGGCCCAUCCUUUCCCACCUGCAGAGAUUUCUUAAAGCACCUCCACUACCGUCGUGCCUCAGCCCUGUGCCUUCUGGUGGCCCUGACGCAGGCCUGACCAGAGGCCACAGCUUCAGAAAAGCACCAAGCCCAGAGCCCAGGCCCUGCAGACCCAGGUUUGAAGGCGACGCCCGCGUCUCGGUCGCCCCUAUAAGCAGCAGCUAGGCCAAGGGUCCGGGAACUCCGGGUGACACCGAUUUUCCAACAGGAACCAGAACCUAGAAGGUGGGGAACCAUCCGGCGGACUGGUGGCCCCGAGGUCGCCGGACUCAGGGGGGAGACCCCCAGGCGUUCUGGACCAGGCACCCGGAGUCAGGCUUCCCGGUCCCGCCUCC